CAUUUGUUGCCUUUGAAACUCCUUCAGAGAAUCUUUCUGGAUUGAAAUCUCCAGCAUCAUCACCCCAAAAUUCUUUUUCUUGGUGCAUCAUUGAUACAGGUACAAUAAGCUCUACUCCUGCAGGAAGUGUUAGGUCUCCAAGUUUUGUGUCUUUGCGAAGAUAUCUUGAUAGCAUAAUGACUGGGGGAUAUAACCUUAGACUUUCUUGAAGAAUCAUUGACACCUGUUUCAUAUAUAAUAUAAUCAUAAUUAAGAUCCAAAAUCAAGUAUUAUUCAUGUUUAGAAUAUUAAACAUGACAAAACUUAGGUCUAUUUUCUUAGAUGUUUUUUAAUGAUUCUUAAUUUAACCGAUUAUAAUGUUUUAAUUUCUUCAAAUUCAUAAUUUUCUUAAAGUCAAAAUAUAUAACAAAAUGCACUAAGUUUUUUCCAAUUGAAUAAAGUAGUCACGAUUAGAAAAAAGAAUUUAAACUCGUGGUGAAAUUCAUCACUCCUUCCUUUCUUACUAGAUUUAGUGAAAACUUUAGAAACAAUUUUGUAUUUUGUCAUCUCUAAUUUUCCUCAUAAACUAUUAGUUUUAAAUAUAGAGCACUCAAAUAAAAGCCAAUAAAUCAUAGAAAGUGAAAACUUACAAUUUUAAGUUGACCUAUCUUUUCAUAAUCAGGUUUAUCAUUACCAAACACUUGAAAAGCUUCCUCUCUUGCCUUAGUUUGCCAAUCAGGAUUCUUGCUUAGUAAUAACAAAGUCCAAACAAGCAAUUCAGC
Molecule: long non-coding RNA, 761 nt
Filed under: Cicer arietinum (chickpea)
Lineage: Eukaryota; Viridiplantae; Streptophyta; Magnoliopsida; Fabales; Fabaceae
Description: long non-coding RNA (CARI_LNC001988)
Source: RNAcentral